Molecule: long non-coding RNA, 756 nt
Organism: Papaver somniferum (opium poppy)
Lineage: Eukaryota; Viridiplantae; Streptophyta; Magnoliopsida; Ranunculales; Papaveraceae
Exons: 2
Source: RefSeq, a predicted model, not a curated record
GAAAAAAUCGGUUGUCCAUUCUUGUUUCUUAAGUUUCAUUUUUCCCUUCCAAUAUUACCCUUGAACUAUAGUUAAUAACUAACCAUAGUUACAACCUAGUAGGAGAAACCCAUCAUCAUUCAAACAUUCACAAAAUCAUUCCGUCCAUCCAAUUCAAUCAUUCUCGAUUCUCAUAGAAAAACAAAACCCAAACUUUUCAUCACCCUCGAUUCAGAUUCCAACCAAAAAUAAACCAUUAUCUAACUCUUCAAACCCAUCAUUUUGACUCCUAAACUUCCUGUGUGGAAAACAUGAAUUGUUAGAAAGAGAAUUCGAAAAGAAGAUGAAGCAGAGAUUAAGAGAAAGAAGAACAGAGAAAAAAGGGGAGGGAGUCCGAGAGAGUUAGUCCAUAUUAUGCAACACUAGAGUUGCUUGGUAAGUGUUUGUUGAAAUGCUUCAACUAAUUAUGUUAUGUAAUUGCUUGUUCACCUCGUCUGUAGACCAAAUGUAGGCGUAAUCCUAUGUAUGUAGGAUAUUAGAGGAAUUAUUGGUGAUUUAUUUUGAAUUCAUGAUAGGCCCUCGUUGUAGAAUGUCUGAUAUGUACGUACAGUUAUGGAGUGGUUAGGGUAGUUUAGUUGGUUACUCCAAGGAUGCUGCUAUAUAUAUAGUGGUGGUGUACCUGUAUGUGAUGUUGAUGAAUGAAAUGGAUUGAUGUAUCCUCUGUGUCUGUAAACCUCUUAUCUGUUUUCUAAUGAAUUCUUCUAUUCCUUGUCUGCA